Oncorhynchus tshawytscha (Chinook salmon) is the source of this 949-nucleotide long non-coding RNA. The record is from Ensembl. Lineage: Eukaryota; Metazoa; Chordata; Actinopteri; Salmoniformes; Salmonidae.
GAAGGACUGACAACUUGCGCCUCUUCUCGAUGGUGGCAAAAGAUCAAUCACAAUGAAGACAAGAAUGACCAGAGACCAUGAACUUCUGCUCAACUUGGCCAGUUCCAGUUACCGGGCUCCUCGGACUUGGAGAGUAGCACCUUGUUAUGCCAUCACUCAAGAGCAACUGAGGUGUCUGAUGUCCUGUGCUUUCAGUGUGUCUCAGAUGGCAGAUCUUCUACAUGUGUCUCGAUUGACAGUCAAAUUGACAGUCGUCUAAGACACUUCAAUCUGUCACAUGCACCGUUAUAUUCUGACAUGUCAGACUUGGCUCUGAAUGAAAAGAUUAAGGACUUGGUGGCUGGGAACGACAAACGUGGACCGGAGGCUGUUCAAUCACAAUUAAGGGCUCUGGGUGCAGAGACGCAGAGUGAGGGACAGCAUGCUUCGUGUUAACCCGAGGGCGGCUGCCCUCAGAGCCAUGUCGCAGAGGCUGCAUAGAAGGUCAUACUGUGUUGCUGGACCAAACUCGUUAGGGCACCUUGAUGGAAACCACAAACUGAUAAGGUAGAUGUAUCUUUGUGAUAGACACAAUGAUCUGUAUCACUGGUGAGAAGUUGUACAUUGUAACAUCUCAAAUUGUUCAUCAACAACUUGUUCUUCAACAACUAACAGUUCAGUAAGCAAUGGCCCUUGAUACCAUAUGUCACUCAUGUGGAUAAUAAUUGUUGGUUUUCAUUGCUUUGUAUUUGUUUUUGUUUCAAUACAAAUUUAACUAGAUUGGGUCUGCUGUAUGGUCGGGUUUCUCCCUAAGGGUUAGCCCUCCAUCUACCUGACCCCAUAACUCUGAGUUGUGGUCACCAGUAUGAUAAGGGAGUAUAAGCCAAUUUGGAAAUGGUGUCAACAGUGUGUUGGUAUGCUCUUUGACAUUUGUCUGAGGAAUUUUGUAAAAAUAAAAUUGGGAAAAUAA